RNAcentral lists this ribosomal RNA (372 nucleotides) under uncultured fungus. RNAcentral's name for it is "eukaryotic LSU rRNA". The stretch from base 1 to 125 matches the Rfam family "5.8S ribosomal RNA", at positions 30 to 154 of the family's 154-position model. The record is from RNAcentral. Lineage: Eukaryota; Fungi.
GCAUCGAUGAAGAACGCAGCCAGUUGCGAUAAGUAGUGUGAAUUGCAGAAUUCAGUGAAUCAUCGAAUCUUUGAACGCAAAUUGCGCUCUCUGGAUAUCCAGGGAGCAUGCCUGUCUGAGCGUCGUUUAACAAUCUACACACAAUUUGUGUGAAAAGAUCAUUCAUGCUUCAAUGUGUGUCGAUCUAUGGAUUUGAACCGUGUGGUACUCCUUUGUGUACUGCUUGGAAGGCUCAACUUGCUUCUGUCCUUCUCUGCAGUGUCAUGAUGUGUGUAUAACGUGUUCUCUUUCGACCUAGUCGAAAAUUCUUACUUUUGACCGCAGAUCAGACAAGACUACCCGCUGAAUUUAAGCAUAUCAAUAAGCGGAGGA